This 256-nucleotide ribosomal RNA is filed under the name uncultured bacterium. RNAcentral describes it as "partial 16S ribosomal RNA". It matches the Rfam family "Bacterial small subunit ribosomal RNA", at positions 76 to 334 of the family's 1533-position model. The record is from RNAcentral.
CAAUACACUGGUGGCGACCGGCGCACGGGUGAGUAACACGUGUGCAACCAACCCCGUACCGGGAGAUAACCCGCGGAAACGUGGACUAACAUCCCAUAAGACUCUAGAGCCGCAUGGCUCUGGAUUUAAAAUUCCGGUGGUACGGGACGGGCACGCGCGACAUUAGGUAGUUGGCGGGGUAAGGGCCCACCAAGCCGACGAUGUCUAGGGGUUCUGAGAGGAAGGUCCCCCACACUGGAACUGAGACACGGUCCAG